UGGGGAAUAUUGGACAAUGGGCGCAAGCCUGAUCCAGCAAUGCCGCGUGUGUGAAGAAGGUCUUCGGAUCGUAAAGCACUUUCGACGGGGACGAUGAUGACGGUACCCGUAGAAGAAGCCCCGGCUAACUUCGUGCCAGCAGCCGCGGUAAUACGAAGGGGGCUAGCGUUACUCGGAAUUACUGGGCGUAAAGGGCGCGUAGGCGGCGCUCCAAGUUAGGCGUGAAAGUCCUGGGCUCAACCUGGGAACUGCGC
Molecule: ribosomal RNA, 254 nt
Filed under: uncultured Roseomonas sp.
Lineage: Bacteria; Pseudomonadati; Pseudomonadota; Alphaproteobacteria; Acetobacterales; Roseomonadaceae
Description: partial 16S ribosomal RNA
Rfam family: Bacterial small subunit ribosomal RNA
Source: RNAcentral